AUGGAGGGGACCUUCAUCACGACGGAGCUCCGCGGCGCGCUGGCCAAGGUGGCCGUGUUCCUGCUCGUCCAGGGUCUGGUGUACCUGAUCCUCAGCAACUCGUCGAACGUCUUCUCCAAAGAUAAGAGGCUCAGGUCCCUGAGCUUCCGGUCGAUGCGGUCCAUGAGCGUGAGGCGCGUGCUGGCGCCGUUCUCCGACGUCCCCGUCGGCACCGACGAACCCUCCUCGCCUUCGCUGCUGUCGUCGUGGUAG
Molecule: ribosomal RNA, 252 nt
Filed under: Triticum aestivum (bread wheat)
Lineage: Eukaryota; Viridiplantae; Streptophyta; Magnoliopsida; Poales; Poaceae
Description: partial small subunit ribosomal RNA
Source: RNAcentral